This 123-nucleotide small RNA is filed under the name Rhizobium sp. PDO1-076. Its description in RNAcentral is "Alphaproteobacterial ar14". It matches the Rfam family "Alphaproteobacterial ar14". Rfam says of the family: Smr14C2 was renamed NfeR1 (Nodule Formation Efficiency RNA) highly expressed in salt stress and during the symbiotic interaction on legume roots. The record is from Rfam by way of RNAcentral. Lineage: Bacteria; Pseudomonadati; Pseudomonadota; Alphaproteobacteria; Hyphomicrobiales; Rhizobiaceae.
GUGUUUCAGGCGACCCACUCCUCCUCCCAGGGGCGCCUGUAGGGACAGCGGCACUCCUCCUCCCAGUCGCUGUUCAUCCAUUCGAAAAGCCUGCCGCACCUCCUCCCGCGGCAGGCUUUUUCG